GAAUUUUCCUGUUAGCUGCGUCCUUACUCUUUUUAAAGCUUUAAGGGCAGUCCUUGGCAUUAACUCAAACGCAUAAUCCAACAGACGUUCACCUGUGUGGCGUAUCAGCCUCUACGAACAAAAAAAUAGGAAAAGAGCGAGAAAUGUCCUAAAUAUAGCAAAACCAUCUAGUCACACACGGCCAGUUCAUCUGCAACAUAGUACUACCUCCCACCACUAGUCUAGGCUACACCCCCUCCAAUAUAAAGCCUAUUUUUUCCUCAUGUCCCUAUUAUUCCUCUCAUGCCCUUUUGCCAGAAUUCUCCCCCCUCCUCCUCCUCCCAAGGCCUAGGCCCGCGCCCAAGGCCCUCGGUGGGCCGGUCUAUAUAUAAGGCCGAAGUGGAUCGAAGCAGGACAUCAGUUGUGGAGUCAUACUUCGCGGGGAUAUAUAGGCCUUCCCUCCUCCGGCGUCAUUCUUCAGCAUGAAGUUUGUGGUAGUACUGUUGGCGCUCCUAGGGGCAGCGAGCUGCGGUACCCCUACACCAGGGGGGGAUCCCACGCCCGAUGACGUCACAGAGUACUCGUUCCUCUUGCUGUGGGAGGCUGCCUUUGCCAUGCCAAUCCUCUCUACAAUCAUCCUGACAAGUAGCCGUCGUUUCGGUGGCUACUUACAGACAAGGAAGUCCACUUCAUAGGUGUCCAGUCAAAAGGAUCAGUUAGACAAUGUAGAACUGGAGUCGUACCAUCUGACUUCAGUACAUCGAAUGUACCUUCAGCAGCUUCUGUGAAAAACGUACUUCUGCAGACCACCUUCCCUGUGCAGCUCAAGGCUAUAUCAUUGGACGUUUUAGUGGGUACUCAGCGCACUGACAUGUAAGCACCAGUGUCAGAAAUGAAGCAAUUAUGAAGACGUAGGAGCAUGUCGAGGUUCUUGCUGCAGUGAUAUGUGUAUUUUGAGGUCGACAAAUAAUGAUGAUGACUGGAAUGAUGACAGGUUAGCAGUGCUACAAAAUGUCCUACUCAUUCAGUAGCAGCUUGUGAGCGAGAGUGAUGAGAAAAGGAGGAUGCUCUCUGAUUCUAGUGCAGAGUUCUGUAAACUUUGGAAAUGACAAGAUUUUGAUAUAAAAUACC
Molecule: long non-coding RNA, 1110 nt
Organism: Macrobrachium nipponense
Lineage: Eukaryota; Metazoa; Arthropoda; Malacostraca; Decapoda; Palaemonidae
Exons: 4
Source: RefSeq, a predicted model, not a curated record